AAGCAGCUGAUGAUACUUUCUUCCCCAUGGGGCCUGGUGUGCAAUGGCUGCAGACAGUAGCAGCUCCCUUGGUGGUGUACACAGUCUGUGACUGGUAUGGGCUGUAAUUAGGGACCUUGGAGACAGUC
Molecule: small nucleolar RNA, 128 nt
Filed under: Sorex araneus (European shrew)
Lineage: Eukaryota; Metazoa; Chordata; Mammalia; Eulipotyphla; Soricidae
Description: Small nucleolar RNA SNORA70 (ENSSARG00000019226.1)
Rfam family: Small nucleolar RNA SNORA70
About the family: snoRNA U70 seems to be exclusive to mammals and is a member of the H/ACA class of snoRNA which contain H (ANANNA) and ACA box motifs. H/ACA box snoRNAs are involved in the conversion of uridines to pseudouridines (5-ribosyluracil) a constituent of structural RNAs (transfer, ribosomal, small nuclear, and small nucleolar).
Source: RNAcentral